UGAGUUCAAAGCGUGACCCAACUCCCAAUACUCCAUCAUUUCAAAGCGCGAACAAAAACUCUUCUCUUUCUCUCUUGACAAAAGAUCCCAGCAACUUUCUUCAUCCAACCAAAACCCUAGAUCCCUGCGAUUUUCUUCAUUCCAGUGACUUCCAUGGGAAAGCUCUUCGCCAUCCAAUCCAAACCCUAGAUCUUUUGGUCUGACACAAAUUGGAAUCAGAUUGAUACAUUCAAUUUCAAAGAGAAUGCAAAGCAAGGCUCCACGUACGUGUCUUCGGCAAGGUUUUCCAAUCCCGAAUUCCGACUCUGUUGGUCUCAAUGUUUGCCACCUUCGCCUCAAUCUACUUCUCCAGACGGUUGUAGCAAGAUUCUGAGAACAAGGUUUAUUUGAUUAAAGAGCUUGAUAGGAUUACUGGGCAGGGAACAACAUAAGAAGUUAUCAGUAGUUAAGAUGGAGUUCGCUGCAGCCAAUCAAGAGGGUUAGAGCGUUCAACGCUGAAAAAUGGAACCAGGCAACUGGUGGUGAUUGGAAUUUUUACAAAAUUUGGUUGUAAGAACAAUAGAGAUGCAAUUCGUAAGACUUGGAUGGGAAAUGGUAUUGGUACCCUUUUGGCAAACUAUGAUGACCUCAAAAUAUUUCAAGACCCUGGUAUUGCUUAAGUUGUCAUGUAACUAGAUCAAGGAGGCCAUGAUCUACUGCAAAGUUUUCUCUCAACCCUCCCUCAGCUAGCACAUAUGUAAAGUAUGAUAUAUCAAUCUGCUGAAAAGAUUUCAUUCACAUGCAAGAGAAUCAUCGCCCUACGCACGUAUAAAGAACCUUAAAAGGAAAAGUUACUGGAGAUGAUGAGCAUGUGCAUACGUGUGAAGCUUGUAAUUAAGAGAGGACUGAUCUAACUAACUAAUUUAAAGUCCUAGCCCUUCGUUGAAUGACUAUAAGCACCCAAGGGAAUUCUAGAAUGAGUACUGGACUACCAGCACAAUUGACACUACUUUAGCUUGUUAUCGGUCUAUUUACUGAACCAGAAUUACUUCAAAGUUAGAGAGAAGGGGUUAUUUAUGGGAUGUGUGGUUGAAACUAAAGGCCAAGCUCAAGAGUUGGAAUGGUCGAGGAGUUGAAAAGUGAAUGGUUCUUUCAAGAACCCAGUUAGCAGUUUCAAUGGCUGUGAGAAGUAUAAUAGACCAUUGUGGACAAUCAUUGCAUUAGAAUAGGCAUUAUGUGUGUUCAAGAAAUUAGCAUGUUAUCAACCAGUAUGCUGAGUUUCAUGUCGACAAUCAAAAGAAAGCCAAAAAUCAUUGUUCGUGGGUUAAUUCUAGCAGAAUUUGUAUCAUUAUUAUAAAGGGAGAAAACAUUGUUGGCUGAGAUAUGAAGUGCUCUUGUAAUUUUAGUAAUGUCACAUUGUAUUUUGGUUACUUUUGAGAUCAUUAAUGAAAAUGAUGUAUUUUUGAUGUGAAGACUUGUUAUAUAUUGUAUUU
Molecule: long non-coding RNA, 1472 nt
Filed under: Rosa chinensis
Lineage: Eukaryota; Viridiplantae; Streptophyta; Magnoliopsida; Rosales; Rosaceae
Description: sRNA RchiOBHm_Chr5g0054391
Source: RNAcentral